Molecule: ribosomal RNA, 253 nt
Filed under: uncultured bacterium
Lineage: Bacteria
Description: partial 16S ribosomal RNA
Rfam family: Bacterial small subunit ribosomal RNA
Source: RNAcentral
UACGUAGGGGGCAAGCGUUGUCCGGAUUUACUGGGCGUAAAGAGCGCGUAGGCGGAGAUCUAAGCGUGGCCUGAAAGCCCCCGGCUCAACCGGGGAGUGCGGCUGCGAACUGGGUUUCUUGAGGACGAUAGAGGAGAGUGGAAUUCCUGGUGUAGCGGUGAAAUGCGUAGAUAUCAGGAGGAACACCUGAGGUGAAGACGGGUUGCUGGGCUGACACUGACGCUGAGGCGCGAAAGCCAGGGGAGCAAACGGG